This 1120-nucleotide ribosomal RNA is filed under the name Botryllus schlosseri. RNAcentral describes it as "SSU rRNA". It matches the Rfam family "Eukaryotic small subunit ribosomal RNA", at positions 689 to 1823 of the family's 1831-position model. The record is from RNAcentral. Lineage: Eukaryota; Metazoa; Chordata; Ascidiacea; Stolidobranchia; Styelidae.
CCGCUCAGAGAUGUGUAUAAGAGACAGACUCUUGACCGGGUGCCGCGGGUCGGGCCGACGAGUUUACUUUGAAAAAAUUAGAGUGUUCAAAGCAGGCCGCCCGCCUGCAUAGUGUCGCAUGGAAUAACGGAAUAGGACCUCGGUCUCGUUUCGUUGGCGUUCGCGGGAGCGAGGUAAUGAUUAAGAGGGACGGCCGGGGGCGUCCGUACUCUGCCGUCAGAGGUGAAAUUCUUGGACCGGCGGAAGACGAGCAGCUGCGAAAGCGUUCGCCAAGAACGUUUUCUUUAAUCAAGAGCGAAAGUCAGAGGUUCGAAGACGAUCAGAUACCGUCCUAGUUCUGACUAUAAACGAUGCCAACUGGCGAUCGGCGGGCGUUACCAUGACGACCUCGCCGGCAGCCUCCGGGAAACCAAAGUCUUUGGGUUCCGGGGGAAGUAUGGUUGCAAAGCUGAAACUUAAAGGAAUUGACGGAAGGGCACCACCAGGAGUGGAGCCUGCGGCUUAAUUUGACUCAACACGGGGAAACUCACCCGGCCCGGACACGGGAAGGAUUGACAGAUUGACAGCUCUUUCUUGAUUCUGUGGGUGGUGGUGCAUGGCCGUUCUUAGUUGGUGGAGCGAUUUGUCUGGUUAAUUCCGAUAACGAACGAGACUCUGGCAUGCUAAAUAGUUACGCGANCCUCGGCGGUCGGCGUCCAACUUCUUAGAGGGACUAGUGGCGUUUAGCCACACGAGAUCGAGCAAUAACAGGUCUGUGAUGCCCUUAGAUGUUCGGGGCCGCACGCGCGCUACACUGGACGGAUCAGCGAGUGCGCCCGGGCCGAGAGGUCCGGGUAACCCGUUGAACCCCGUCCGUGAUUGGGAUAGGGCCUUGCAAUUGUUGCCCUCGAACGAGGAAUUCCCAGUAAGCGCGAGUCAUCAGCUCGCGUUGAUUACGUCCCUGCCCUUUGUACACANCGCCCGUCGCUACUACCGAUUGAACGGUUUAGUGAGNUCNUCGGACUCGNCCNCGUCGCGUGCCNGGCNACGGGCGCGGCGGUGCGCCGGGAAGACGACCGAACUUGAUCGUUUAGAGGAAGUAAAAGUCGUAACAAGGUUUCCGUAGGUGAACNUGCGGAAG